This is a long non-coding RNA of Protobothrops mucrosquamatus (brown spotted pit viper), 967 nucleotides long. RefSeq lists it as uncharacterized. NCBI's taxonomy places the organism in Eukaryota, Metazoa, Chordata, Lepidosauria, Squamata, Viperidae. The record is from RefSeq and is a predicted model, not a curated record. The transcript is spliced from 4 exons.
CAGGUGCGGUCAGCGGGAUGGUCCUCGGAGAAUCUGCAACGCGCGCAAAAGGAACCGAGCAAGUAAAUAUGCUGAGAUAUGGACAGAAACAUUUAUAGCAAGAAUAUAUUCAGGAGCUGACUCCACUAGAAAGUGAGGUACAGUAUGGGGGGCGCUAAGAUCUGCUGUUGAAUAGAAAAAGAUGAGUGCAGAUGAAAUAGCCACUGAACUACUUAUGCUGCAAGAGAUGCUAACUGUGCAAUACACAAAUACAUAUGGAACAAGACGGUCAAUUCAUACAGACUGGAAAAGACUGUUUGGGCUACAUAAGAGUCAUCACAUUGAUGGACAAGAUACCACUAACACGAGUGCUUUAUUAUAUCAAAUCAAGAUCUAAUUACAUCAACUUUCCUAAUGCCCAUCUCUGCAACUUUCAGGUAAGCACUAUAAAGCACAUAGGACACCUAUCUCCCAUUCCUUUCAACAGCAGCAGCUUUCAAGAAUUCAUCAUAACAAUCUUAGCAAACUGUUGCUGCCCAGACUAACACUUUUCAAAUUGACUUUAGAGUCAUUGGAUGUUUUGAAAUCCCUCUCUCCUUGGUGGUUCAAAAUAGAGGUUAUUUCAGUUCCAAUCUUCCCUGAAUGCAGACUACUGGGGAGAGCAUCUGCUGCUGCAGACAUACAUGACUUCUCAUAACCUAGAUUUCCCAGUUCAGUAAAAGAAUUUAGAAGGGGUGAAUUUCAUUGUCACUUGUUAAAAAUCCCCUGGCUUAACUUAGACGGCAGGGAAGAUUUUCAACUCCAUAUUUCCCCACAAAUGUAACUUCUCAUGUAUGAGUACUGCAGAUAUUUUACAUAAAAUAUGGUCAACUUAUUUACCAUGCAUGUUUUAAUGUUUAUAUUUAUCAUAAAUAUUUUAUUGUUUUAUGCUGUUGUUUGUAUACCUACGCAACUCAGAAUUAAAUUGGGAAAUACAAAUCUGUUAAAU